AACGAACGCUGGCGGCAUGCCUAACACAUGCAAGUCGAACGAGACCUUCGGGUCUAGUGGCGCACGGGUGCGUAACGCGUGGGAACCUGCCCUUAGGUUCGGAAUAACUCCCCGAAAGGGGUGCUAAUACCGGAUAAUGUCUUCGGACCAAAGAUUUAUCGCCGUUGGAUGGGCCCGCGUUGGUUUAGCUAGUUGGUAGGGUAAAAGCCUACCAAGGCGACGAUCCAUAGCUGGUCUGAGAGGAUGAUCAGCCACACUGGGACUGAGACACGGCCCAGACUCCUACGAGAGGCAGCAGUGGGGAAUAUUGGACAAUGGGCGGAAGCCUGAGCCAGCAAUGCCGCGUGAGUGAAGAAGGCCUUAGGGUUGUAAAGCUCUUUUACCCGGGAUGAUAAUGACAGUACCGGGAGAAUAAGCGCCGGCUAACUCCGUG
Molecule: ribosomal RNA, 433 nt
Filed under: uncultured bacterium
Lineage: Bacteria
Description: partial 16S ribosomal RNA
Rfam family: Bacterial small subunit ribosomal RNA
Source: RNAcentral